UUCUUCUUUUCUGGGCUUGGUCCCAAAACCUCAUAAACAUCAUCAAUGUGUUCUCUUCUCCUGGCCAUAAGGACCAUGUUACACAUAACAUGCACAUCACUUUCUUUGCUCACAUGGUCCUCCACACACUAAUCAACUUCCAAAUAGGUACAAACACAAAUACACAAACACAAAGGAGAUACAAACUUAUGAAUAAACUUAAUUAAGGAUGAGAUUAUUUCGUUAAUCACUUGGACUUGAAUGGAAUUGCCCUGAUCACGACGACGUGGUACAAUGCCGCAAGUGCUGCUCCGAUGAAUGGUCCUACCCAGUAGAUCCACUGCCACCAAAUAAACGUUAUUAGUGUCGACGAAUUAGUGAUAAGUAAAAAAAAAUGGUUGAUUAAAGUUUUCGAGAUUUUAAUUACGUGAUCAUGCCAUGCUUGGUCCUGGUUAUAGAUGAUGGCCGCGCCCAAACUCCUGGCGGGGUUGAUUCCUGUUCCGGUGAUGGGAAUUGUGGCCAAGUGUACCAAGAACACCGCGAAUCCUAUAGGCAACGGUGCCAAGAUCUGAUCACACAACAUUAAGUCCGAUUAGUAUGAAUUUAAUUAAAUUUAUAACUAAUCCAAUUAAGUCUGAUUCCCGUAAAUUUAAUUAACUUGUGACUAGUCCGAUUAAGUCCUACUAGCAGUGAAUUAUUACUAAACAUAGAAAUACUCUAAAAAAAUUAGGAACAAAAAUUUAGAAGCUUACAGGGACGUGAGAGUCUCUGGCGCUACGCUUGGCAUCAGUGGCGGAGAAGACGGUGUAAACAAGCACGAAAGUUCCGACAAUCUCGGCACCGAGACCAUCACCUUUGGUGUAGCCAUGAGCCACAACAUUAGCACCACCACCCUUAUCAGUAAACACUCUCUUCCCCUCGAACCCUUUAACCACUCCAGCCCCGCAGAUCGCACCCAAGCACUGCAUCACCAUGUAGUACACAGCCCUGGUCAAAGUCAACUUCCUCGCCAGAAACA
This 997-nucleotide long non-coding RNA is filed under the name Daucus carota (carrot). RNAcentral describes it as "long non-coding RNA (DCAR_LNC005753)". Lineage: Eukaryota; Viridiplantae; Streptophyta; Magnoliopsida; Apiales; Apiaceae. The record is from RNAcentral.